CUGCGUUUUCCCUCAGUAAGCUUGAGAAAGGUAAAAAUUAUCUUAUUAUGGGUGCUUUGGUCAUGAAGAGAAAAUGAUGCUAGAUAUGAAUAGAAGAAAUUCCUCUUAUCCCUGGGAAUUUUUAAGCAUUAAAUUAAUUCCCCUAUCUCUUGGAGUGUUAAUGGGAAGGCUUUCAGCUCUGUGUAAGGCAGAAGUCCACAUUUGCAUUUAGAUGGAGCUAUUUUAAGGAUUGUAGUAUAUACAUAGGGGCCUGUAUCCCAUUUACAAUAGGAUCUGUAAGAUAAAAUUAAUAUCUAGUAAGUGGUUGUUUGUCCCAUUUUGCUGUAAUCUGAACCAGUAACUGAAGUGGUAUAAUCUGACAUAAUAAAUACCAGAGUCAUUCAGUGGAGAGAUAUCCACACACAAGGAGGAAUGCACUCUUUAAGCAGUGAAGUGGGUUAUGUUUUUUUCCCUUUCACGAGGCUGCCAUGAAGCACUGCGUCCUGCCAGUGAUACCCAGAAGACUUUUCUUGUGUCGAGCAACCUGCUGCCUCUGGGGAGAAAUGGGAAACCACAGCAGGGUGGUGGUGGCUCUCAGACAGGCUUUUGAGGGAGAUGCUGAGCUUACGUGCGCUGCCUGUGCCAAACAGAAGAAAGCCUCCUCCCGUAAUCCCUCACCCAGUGUUUGUGCCAGGACUUCCACUGCAAUAGCCCUGCUUUGAUGGCAGCCAUUGAAGGAGAUAAAAAUGAGAGCUUUGGAGCAGUAUCUUCAUGGAGCAUGAUGACUCUUGACAGCAGGAGACACAUUCACCACCUGAAGGCUACGGAGCGCCUGUGCCUGAACAGCAGACAAGGACCCAGUGGUUUCAGAUGGACGCUUCUCCACUACCUCCUGCUCUCCUCUGGACUUCAGUGCUCAGGAAAGCCACUGCACUCCUGUGAUCUC
This is a long non-coding RNA of Pezoporus flaviventris, 925 nucleotides long. RefSeq lists it as uncharacterized. NCBI's taxonomy places the organism in Eukaryota, Metazoa, Chordata, Aves, Psittaciformes, Psittacidae. The record is from RefSeq and is a predicted model, not a curated record. The transcript has 4 exons.